GGCCCAAGAGGUACUUCUUCAGGAUGAAGACCUUAUGGUAAGUCUUCACAACCUCCAUUCUUUAGAAAAAGAUAAGUGCCAGCGCUACAUUAGACUCAGACCAAUUAGCUUUUUGGCAAGUCUACUUCUACUAUGUGGAAUCACCAAGACUGUAUAUGCAUCAAUUAUUACAAUAAAAAUCAAUCAAUUGAUACUAUCUAAUUUGUCCAUUGAUCUUAUAAAAAAUAUAUAAAAUAUAUGUAAGAGUAAAAAGUCAAUGGCAUGUGCCACAAUCAUAAGUGUCCCAACUUCAGAAUAAACACUUUAAAUGUUUCUGGUUCUUGGGAUGCUUGAUGGGGGAUAUUGAGUGUCACGCAGAGAUACUUCCAG
Molecule: non-coding RNA, 369 nt
Organism: Pelobates cultripes (western spadefoot toad)
Lineage: Eukaryota; Metazoa; Chordata; Amphibia; Anura; Pelobatidae
Source: the annotation of a GenBank genome assembly